Molecule: long non-coding RNA, 1289 nt
Filed under: Capra hircus (goat)
Lineage: Eukaryota; Metazoa; Chordata; Mammalia; Artiodactyla; Bovidae
Description: lncRNA (ENSCHIG00010000270.1)
Source: RNAcentral
UCUGAUAGAAUCAUAUCCUUCACUCCUCCUGUCCUUCCACAGGCUCUCCAAGGUCCAGGGUGCCCCAUGACCUCUAUCCUAGGGAAGCAGGCCCUUACAGGGAGGGAGAACGCGGACCUCAGUGUUCCAGCCCCCCUCCUACCCCCUUCCCCUUGGACAUAAAUCGGAAUGAUGAAGAAAGGACUUUAGAGUCAGACCUGGGCUUCUAUUUUUCUUUACAUCUCAGAGAUCUUAGAUAAGUUGUUUCUCUUCUGAGCCUUGAUUUCUUUCUUUUUUAUAUAUAUUUACCUGGCUGCUCUAGGUCUUAGUUGCUACGGCAUGGGGGAUUUUUAGCUGUGGCCUGUGAACUCUUAGUUGCAGUAUGUGGGUUCUAGCUCCCUGACCAAAAAUUGAACCCUGGCCCCCAGCUUUGCGGGCACAGAGUCUUAGCCACUGGACCACCUGUGGCUCAUCCAGUGAAGUCGCUUAGCCUUGAUGUCUUCAUUUCUAAAUAGGGUACCUCCCUCCUGGAGUGGAUGUAAAAUUAAAUUUAAAUUUGUAACUGCUUAUACAGACCUCAGUGAACUUCUCUGGUGACCCAGUGGUUAAGUCUCUGCACUUCCAGCACAAGGAGCAUAGGUUCGGUCAUCGGUCAGAGAACUAAGAUCCUACAUGCUGCAAAGAGUGACUGGAAAAAAAAAAAAAACCCUUAGCAUCACAAGCUCUCGCAGUGAAUCACUGCUCUCCACAAUCACCAGGCAGGAAACAGGAUUUACUUUCCUUCCUCCGGUCCCUUCUGAGCUGAAUCCUUGCCAUUCUCUCAGCUUCCUCUGUUUCUUGAGAAAAAGAUGUGUGGUCAAACAGGGAUAAGCCCCCGCAGAAAAAUCCAGGUUUCCUAUAACAGGCUCCCAGAAGCCUCGGUGUGCAUUUGAGCACCAUUCUCCACCAACCCCUGCUUUUCUUUUUUAAAUCCUGCCUUUAUUUAUUUAUUGUUAAUUUAUUUAAUUGGAGGCUAAUUCCUUUAUAAUGUUGUACUGGUUUUGCCAUACAUCAACAUGAAUCAGCCAUAGGUAUGCGUAUGUUCUCUCCCUCAUGAACCUUCCUCCCACCCCAACCUAAAUACAAUCCCACCUCUCUAGGUUGUCACUGAGCACUGGCAAACCCACUUUAUACCAACAUCAUUCUACUAGAGGUACUUGAGUAAAAAAACACACACAUAAAAAAAAAAAACAAAAAAGCCAAACGACAAAGGUCAAGUAUGGUGUCACUGAGGACCUCUUACAUCCCAGGCUGCAAGCCAAGAGCAGGGA